AUGGCCGCCGCCGAUCCCGCCGUCGCCACCUCCACCUGCGCGCACUGUAACCGAGAGGUUCCGUCUCCCAACAUCGCGCUGCAUUCUGCACACUGCGCUCGCAACCUUCACUUGAAGUGUGAGCAUUGUGGAGAUAUGGUCCCAAGGAAGCACAUGGAUAAGCACUAUGAUGAUAACCAUGCUCCGGUGAAUUGCCCACUCUGCGAACAAACUGUGGAGCAUGAGCUGUGGGAUCUUCAUAAACGCUUACAGUGCCCACAAAGGAUGCUUGCGUGCCAGUAUUGCAAGUUUGAACUACCUGCAGCUGACAUUUUUGAGCAUCAGGAUGUAUGUGGAAAUCGAACAAAAUAUUGUCAACCUUGCAACAAGGACAUCAGACUUCGAGAAUGGAUUGGACACGAGCUCCUACUCCAUUCAAAAACAAAUGCCGCUGCAGAAUCUUCAAGAUCCAUGCUGGAAAAAGAAGAGGGUGGUCGUCACAAGCAAGCACGCCCCGCUUUUGGUUUGAAACACAAGCAACUGCUCCUCACAAUUGCAAUAACCGGACUUGCUGUACUGAUUGGAUCCAUUCUGUUCCAAAGAAGGAUUGGAAGUUCCGAAGCCUUGUAA
Molecule: ribosomal RNA, 609 nt
Filed under: Triticum aestivum (bread wheat)
Lineage: Eukaryota; Viridiplantae; Streptophyta; Magnoliopsida; Poales; Poaceae
Description: partial small subunit ribosomal RNA
Source: RNAcentral